This 53-nucleotide ribosomal RNA is filed under the name Synechococcus sp. WH 8018. RNAcentral's name for it is "partial 16S ribosomal RNA". The record is from RNAcentral. Lineage: Bacteria; Bacillati; Cyanobacteriota; Cyanophyceae; Synechococcales; Synechococcaceae.
UAAGUCGUAACAAGGUAACCGUACCGGAAGGUGACGGCUGGAUCACCUCCUAA